This is a long non-coding RNA of Priapulus caudatus, 378 nucleotides long. RefSeq lists it as uncharacterized. NCBI's taxonomy places the organism in Eukaryota, Metazoa, Priapulida, Priapulimorpha, Priapulimorphida, Priapulidae. The transcript has 2 exons. The record is from RefSeq and is a predicted model, not a curated record.
GUUUUUUGUUGUGCAGAGCAGAUGUUAGUGAAAGAACAUUCAGCGCAAAAUCAACAAAAGGGCACAACUCAAGGAAAUUGCAACAAACUGAAACACAACAACGAGAUGCACAACUUUACUCCACAUCUGGAAUCCCUCGAACGGUCUCAGGCCUACAAGAUGUAGUGAAAGAAAUUCAGCCAAAAUCAACAAAAGGGCACAACUCAAGGAAAUUGCAACAAACUGAAACACAACAACAAAAGCAAAAUUGUUCAGCUGUUGAAGUACAACUUCAUAGCACUAUUUAAAUUUGCAAUUCAGUUUUACAGUAACCUUAAACAUUUGCUUAUAUAGCAUUACACAAUGAACAAAUCUUGGGAAUAAAAUCUCUAAAAAUUA